RNAcentral lists this ribosomal RNA (385 nucleotides) under Fracastorius cornutus. Its description in RNAcentral is "SSU rRNA". It matches the Rfam family "Eukaryotic small subunit ribosomal RNA", at positions 805 to 1185 of the family's 1831-position model. Lineage: Eukaryota; Metazoa; Arthropoda; Insecta; Hemiptera; Coreidae. The record is from RNAcentral.
GUGCAUGGAAUAAUGGAACAGGACCUUGGUUCUAUUUUGUUGGUUUUCGGAAUCCAAGGUAAUGAUCAAUAAGGACAGGCGGGGGCAUUCGUAUUGCGGCGUUAGAGGUGAAAUUCUUGGAUCGUCGCAAGACGCACUAGAGCGAAAGCAUUUGCCAAGUAUGUCUUAAUUGAUCAAGAACGAAAGUUAGAGGUUCGAAGGCGAUCAGAUACCGCCCUAGUUCUAACCAUAAACGAUGCCAGCCAGCGAUCCGCCGAUGUUCCUCCGAUGACUCGGCGGGGAGCUUUCCCCGGGAAACCAAAGCUUUUGGGUUCCGGGGGAAGUAUGGUUGCAAAGCUGAAACUUAAAGGAAUUGACGGAAGGGCACCACCAGGAGUGGAGCCUG